UGUAUUUGCUACUGUAAGUCACUCUGGAUAAGAGCGUCUGCUAAAUGACUAAAA
Molecule: non-coding RNA, 54 nt
Organism: Salmo salar (Atlantic salmon)
Lineage: Eukaryota; Metazoa; Chordata; Actinopteri; Salmoniformes; Salmonidae
Source: Rfam